GUGGGGAAUCUUCCGCAAUGGACGAAAGUCUGACGGAGCAACGCCACGUGAGUGAUGAAGGUCUUCGGAUUGUAAAGCUCUGUUAAUCGGGACGAAAGAGCCUAGUGUGAAUAAUGCUAGGAAGUGACGGUACCGGAAUAGAAAGCCACGGCUAACUACGUGCCAGCAGCCGCGGUAAUACGUAGGUGGCAAGCGUUGUCCGGAAUUAUUGGGCGUAAAGCGCGCGCAGGCGGAUCUGCCAGUCUGUCUUAAAAGUUCGGGGCUUAACCCCGUGAUGGGAUGGAAACUACAGAUCUAGAGUAUCGGAGAGGAAAGUGGAAUUCCUAGUGUAGCGGUGAAAUGCGUAGAUAUUAGGAAGAACACCAGUGGCGAAGGCGACUUUCUGGACGAAAACUGACGCUGAGGCGCGAAAGCCAGGGGAGCGAACGGGAUUAGAAACCCCGGUAGUCC
RNAcentral lists this ribosomal RNA (450 nucleotides) under uncultured bacterium. Its description in RNAcentral is "partial 16S ribosomal RNA". It matches the Rfam family "Bacterial small subunit ribosomal RNA", at positions 354 to 796 of the family's 1533-position model. The record is from RNAcentral.